Molecule: ribosomal RNA, 1303 nt
Filed under: synthetic construct
Description: bacterial SSU rRNA
Rfam family: Bacterial small subunit ribosomal RNA
Source: RNAcentral
GGAUUAGUGGCGAACGGGUGAGUAACACGUGAGUAACCUGCCCUUAACUCUGGGAUAAGCCUGGGAAACUGGGUCUAAUACCGGAUAGGAGCGUCCACCGCAUGGUGGGUGUUGGAAAGAUUUAUCGGUUUUGGAUGGACUCGCGGCCUAUCAGCUUGUUGGUGAGGUAAUGGCUCACCAAGGCGACGACGGGUAGCCGGCCUGAGAGGGUGACCGGCCACACUGGGACUGAGACACGGCCCAGACUCCUACGGGAGGCAGCAGUGGGGAAUAUUGCACAAUGGGCGAAAGCCUGAUGCAGCGACGCCGCGUGAGGGAUGACGGCCUUCGGGUUGUAAACCUCUUUCAGUAGGGAAGAAGCGAAAGUGACGGUACCUGCAGAAGAAGCACCGGCUAACUACGUGCCAGCAGCCGCGGUAAUACGUAGGGUGCGAGCGUUAUCCGGAAUUAUUGGGCGUAAAGAGCUCGUAGGCGGUUUGUCGCGUCUGUCGUGAAAGUCCGGGGCUUAACCCCGGAUCUGCGGUGGGUACGGGCAGACUAGAGUGCAGUAGGGGAGACUGGAAUUCCUGGUGUAGCGGUGGAAUGCGCAGAUAUCAGGAGGAACACCGAUGGCGAAGGCAGGUCUCUGGGCUGUAACUGACGCUGAGGAGCGAAAGCAUGGGGAGCGAACAGGAUUAGAUACCCUGGUAGUCCAUGCCGUAAACGUUGGGCACUAGGUGUGGGGACCAUUCCACGGUUUCCGCGCCGCAGCUAACGCAUUAAGUGCCCCGCCUGGGGAGUACGGCCGCAAGGCUAAAACUCAAAGGAAUUGACGGGGGCCCGCACAAGCGGCGGAGCAUGCGGAUUAAUUCGAUGCAACGCGAAGAACCUUACCAAGGCUUGACAUGUUCUCGAUCGCCGUGGAGAUACGGUUUCCCCUUUGGGGCGGGUUCACAGGUGGUGCAUGGUUGUCGUCAGCUCGUGUCGUGAGAUGUUGGGUUAAGUCCCGCAACGAGCGCAACCCUCGUUCCAUGUUGCCAGCACGUAAUGGUGGGGACUCAUGGGAGACUGCCGGGGUCAACUCGGAGGAAGGUGAGGACGACGUCAAAUCAUCAUGCCCCUUAUGUCUUGGGCUUCACGCAUGCUACAAUGGCCGGUACAAUGGGUUGCGAUACUGUGAGGUGGAGCUAAUCCCAAAAAGCCGGUCUCAGUUCGGAUUGGGGUCUGCAACUCGACCCCAUGAAGUCGGAGUCGCUAGUAAUCGCAGAUCAGCAACGCUGCGGUGAAUACGUUCCCGGGCCUUGUACACACCGCCCGUCAAGUC